GUCCCAGUUCGGACUGGAGUCUGNAACCCGACUCCACGAAGUUGGAUUCGCUAGUAAUCGCGCAUCAGCCAUGGCGCGGUGAAUACGUUCCCGGGCCUUGUACACACCGCCCGUCAAGCCAUGGGAGCCGGGGGCGCCUGAAGUCCGGGACCGCGAGGACCGGCCUAGGGCGAAACUGGUAACUGGGGCUAAGUCGUAACAAGGUACC
This 208-nucleotide ribosomal RNA is filed under the name uncultured bacterium. RNAcentral describes it as "partial 16S ribosomal RNA". It matches the Rfam family "Bacterial small subunit ribosomal RNA", at positions 1285 to 1500 of the family's 1533-position model. The record is from RNAcentral.